RNAcentral lists this ribosomal RNA (495 nucleotides) under uncultured bacterium. Its description in RNAcentral is "partial 16S ribosomal RNA". It matches the Rfam family "Bacterial small subunit ribosomal RNA", at positions 28 to 507 of the family's 1533-position model. The record is from RNAcentral.
GACGAACGCUGGCGGCGUGCCUAAUACAUGCAAGUAGAACGCUGAAGGAGGAGCUUGCUCUUCUGGAUGAGUUGCGAACGGGUGAGUAACGCGUAGGUAACCUGCCUGGUAGCGGGGGAUAACUAUUGGAAACGAUAGCUAAUACCGCAUAACAGUAGAUGUUGCAUGACAUUUACUUAAAAGGUGCAAUUGCAUCACUACCAGAUGGACCUGCGUUGUAUCAGCUAGUUGGUGGGGUAACGGCUCACCAAGGCGACGAUACAUAGCCGACCUGAGAGGGUGAUCGGCCACACUGGGACGGAGACACGGCCCAGACGCCUACGGGAGGCAGCAGUAGGGAAUCUUCGGCAAUGGACGGAAGUCUGACCGAGCAACGCCGCGUGAGUGAAGAAGGUUCUCGGAUCGGAAAGCUCGGUUGUAAGAGAAGAACGAGUGUGAGAGUGGAAAGUUCACACUGUGACGGUAUCUUAACAGAAAGGGACGGCUAACUACGUG